UGGGGAAUAUUGCACAAUGGGCGCAAGCCUGAUGCAGCCAUGCCGCGUGUAUGAAGAAGGCCUUCGGGUUGUAAAGUACUUUCAGCGGGGAGGAAGGGAGUAAAGUUAAUACCUUUGCUCAUUGACGUUACCCGCAGAAGAAGCACCGGCUAACUCCGUGCCAGCAGCCGCGGUAAUACGGAGGGUGCAAGCAUUAAUCGGAAUUACUGGGCGUAAAGCGCACGCAGGCGGUUUGUUAAGUCAGAUGUGAAAUCCCCGGGCUCAACCUGGGAACUGCAUCUGAUACUGGCAAGCUUGAGUCUCGUAGAGGGGGGUAGAAUUCCAGGUGUAGCGGUGAAAUGCGUAGAGAUCUGGAGGAAUACCGGUGGCGAAGGCGGCCCCCUGGACAAAGACUGACGCUCAGGUGCGAAAGCGUGGGGAGCAAACAGG
RNAcentral lists this ribosomal RNA (429 nucleotides) under Chloroflexota bacterium. RNAcentral describes it as "Chloroflexi bacterium partial 16S ribosomal RNA". It matches the Rfam family "Bacterial small subunit ribosomal RNA", at positions 355 to 776 of the family's 1533-position model. Lineage: Bacteria; Bacillati; Chloroflexota. The record is from RNAcentral.